GCCAGACUCCUACGGGAGGCAGCAGUGGGGAAUAUUGCACAAUGGGGGAAACCCUGAUGCAGCAACGCCGCGUGAGUGAGGAAGUAUUUCGGUAUGUAAAGCUCUAUCAGCAGGGAAGAAGAUGACGGUACCUGACUAAGAAGCCCCGGCUAACUACGUGCCAGCAGCCGCGGUAAUACGUAGGGGGCAAGCGUUAUCCGGAUUUACUGGGUGUAAAGGGAGCGUAGACGGCGAUGCAAGCCAGGAGUGAAAGCCCGGGGCCCAACCCCGGGACUGCUCUUGGAACUGCGCGGCUGGAGUGCAGGAGGGGCAGGCGGAAUUCCUGGUGUAGCGGUGGAAUGCGUAGAUAUCAGGAGGAACACCGGUGGCGAAGGCGGCCUGCUGGACUGCGACUGACGUUGAGGCCCGAAAGCGUGGGGAGCAAACAGGAUUAGAUACCCCAGUAC
This 446-nucleotide ribosomal RNA is filed under the name uncultured bacterium. Its description in RNAcentral is "bacterial SSU rRNA". It matches the Rfam family "Bacterial small subunit ribosomal RNA", at positions 330 to 793 of the family's 1533-position model. The record is from RNAcentral.